This 77-nucleotide small RNA is filed under the name Xanthomonas oryzae pv. oryzae. Its description in RNAcentral is "sX9". It matches the Rfam family "Xanthomonas sRNA sX9". Lineage: Bacteria; Pseudomonadati; Pseudomonadota; Gammaproteobacteria; Lysobacterales; Lysobacteraceae. The record is from RNAcentral.
GUGUACCACGCGUCCACUGCGGUUCUGAGCGCGCCGUCCGCGCCCACCUGACCGCUGCUCCAUAAGGUUUGUUAGAG